AUGAAGGAUCUAGGAGUAGCUGAUGUUAUCUUAAACAUCAAGCUGUUGAGAGAUGAGAAUGGUGGGAUCACACUGCUUCAGUCUCAUUAUGUGGAAAAGAUCUUGAGUCGUUUUGGGUAUAGCGACUGCACGCCUUCUCCAACUCCAUAUGAUGCUAGUCUAAGUCGGUUUGUGUCAAAACCGGGAGAUGAUCAUUGGCAUGCGCUUGAGAGAGUUAUGCGCUAUUUGAAAGGCACCGCAAGCUAUGGGAUUCACUACACCGGGUAUUCAAGGGUACUGGAGGGUUAUAGUGACUCAAACUGGAUAUCUGAUGCUGAUGAGAUUAAGGCCACAAGUGGUUAUGUUUUUACACUUGGUGGUGGCGCUGUUUCCUGGAAGUGUUGCAAGCAGACCAUCUUAACGAGGUCAAUUAUGGAAGCAGAACUCACAGCAUUAGACACUGCCACUGUUGAAGCAGAGUGGCUUCAUGAACUCUUGAUGGACUUACCUGUGGUUGAAAAACCAAUACCCCCUAUCCUGAUGAACUGUGAUAAUCAAACUGUGAUCGUCAAGAUAAACAGUUCUAAGGACAAUAUGAAGUCCUCAAGGCAUGUGAAGAGGAGACUAAAAUCUGUCAGAAAAUUGAGGAACUCCGGAGUUAUUACGUUGGAUUAUAUCAAAACAUCGAAAAACUUGGCAGAUCCCUUCACAAAGGGUCUAUCACGUAAUGUGAUAGAUAAUGCAUCGAUAGAGAUGGGUUUGAGACCCACC
This 750-nucleotide ribosomal RNA is filed under the name Triticum aestivum (bread wheat). RNAcentral describes it as "partial small subunit ribosomal RNA". Lineage: Eukaryota; Viridiplantae; Streptophyta; Magnoliopsida; Poales; Poaceae. The record is from RNAcentral.